This is a long non-coding RNA of Trachemys scripta elegans, 722 nucleotides long. RefSeq lists it as uncharacterized. Lineage: Eukaryota; Metazoa; Chordata; Testudines; Emydidae. The transcript has 3 exons. The record is from RefSeq and is a predicted model, not a curated record.
CAGGCUGAGGCAGCUGCUGCUGCUACUGCACCUCAGAAGGGGGAGUGGAGGGGGAGGAGGCACACACGUGCUUGGCAGCCCUCCACUCCGCUCCCCGGGCACCAGACACCGAGGGGGCUUCCAGCGGGAGACAUCUGGAGUGGACCUCCGUGACUCACCUGAGCAGCCGCUGGGGCUUCGUGAGUGCCUCUGCAUAAGAAGCAAGUGCUCUCUGGUUAUCGCAUUCUGACAUUCAUCAGCUUCUCUGAUGUUUAGAUAAUGUCAUUGUCGACCAGUGGCAGACAGCAUCCUGUCCAGCCUUCCCUGUGCUAAACUGCGGCCAGUACUAGUGCAACUAAACUGACAACAAAGGGGUGCUGAAGAAGUUCUCGCCUAAGAUGGACAAGGUCUCACUUUCACACGAGCAGACACACUAUUCUGGUUAUUCCAUUUUAUCUUAUGUCCCAACAAAUUAGUUAAAUCAAUCACAUCAUGAGUUUGUGGGAUGAAGAGAGAGAACUGACUGGAGCAAUUCACAGAGGAGAAUCAGCCAACCGUGUCUAACUAUUUCAGGACUUGGAAAUGAAGUUCAGAUGAAAAGACUUCGGUUCCAGCUGUUGUCCUUCUGUGGACCAUUUCAAAUCCCAGAAGAAAACAGCUUUACGAAAAUUCAUCUUAUGGGAGAAGUUGGAGAGAGAGAAAUACUAUAUUUUGUAUAAUAAAUUAUGAAUGGUGUGGAGAGA